GCGGAUCACACCGCUCCCGGUAAAACGGGACGGCCCGCCAGAGGACCCCUAAACUCUGUUUCUAUAUGUAACUUCUGAGUAAAACCAUAAAUAAAUCAAAACUUUCAACAACGGAUCUCUUGGUUCUGGCAUCGAUGAAGAACGCAGCAAAAUGCGAUAAGUAAUGUGAAUUGCAGAAUUCAGUGAAUCAUCGAAUCUUUGAACGCACAUUGCGCCCGCCAGUAUUCUGGCGGGCAUGCCUGUUCGAGCGUCAUUUCAACCCUCAAGCACAGCUUGGUGUUGGGACUCGCGUUAAUUCGCGUUCCCCAAAUUGAUUGGCGGUCACGUCGAGCUUCCAUAGCGUAGUAGUAAAACCCUCGUUACUGGUAAUCGUCGCGGCCACGCCGUUAAACCCCAACUUCUGAAUCAUGGCCUCGGAUCAGGCAUGCAGAACACAACACGUUGAGUAAAAAUUUUCAAAAACCCGUGAGCACACCACCCAGUUGUUUUUUCUAAAUGAUCAUUACCCAGGAGGAGA
This 517-nucleotide ribosomal RNA is filed under the name Fusarium oxysporum f. sp. ciceris. RNAcentral describes it as "eukaryotic LSU rRNA". The stretch from base 100 to 253 matches the Rfam family "5.8S ribosomal RNA". Lineage: Eukaryota; Fungi; Ascomycota; Sordariomycetes; Hypocreales; Nectriaceae. The record is from RNAcentral.